GGUAUUGUAGUUUAUAUAUAAAUAUUUGAUUCUUCUCAUAGCACUUCACCAAUCUUUGCAUAUACCUUUAUUUCUUCAAAGCACUUUUCCUUUACCUUUACCUGCUAUGACUCCUCAGAGGGAUUGAUGUUUAGAUUUGAUUCGCAACGAUGCUUCUCUUUUUCUUCUCCUUCUUACUGGGAAAGCCUUUUCUUUCAUUCGCUUCAAUUGAAAAGGAUGUGUUUUAAUCCCAACAUUUCUUCCAGUUUUCCUCGAUCUACGGUUUCUUCUUAAAGCAUCAUUUCUUGUUCUUUUUUGACACUAUGUUUUUCACAGGUGUAUUACUUUUUCUUUUUUUUUUCAAUUUGGUUCUUGAGGAACGAGUUCAUCCACUGAAAGGUCCUCGUUUACCGAAAUCAAACAUGAAUUUGCGCAUAAAAUCUCUAUUUUUCUCUUACCCACAUCUCGUGCUGUCAUUAAUCUGUACUCCUAAUUAAUUAGUCUCUAUGUAAUAUGUUCCCUUUUGCAGUUUGUGUUUGGAAAAUUUUCCGUUAGAUUUGGCUUUUCUCUGUGAAACUUGUGGCUUUUGUUAAGUAGUUUUGGACGAGGGUGGCAAAAUGAUAUCAUAGGUUGUCUUCAUAGUUUGUUUAAGGAGGUUUUGUUGGUAGCUAUAGAUGCAUGGAGAGUUUGCCAGUCGUUAUUUGCGGAUGUAGCAUCAUCAAGAUUCACAUGCAAACGCAGGUGGGUGGGACUGUGAUGCAAUCUGAGAGCUGUAGGCCAACCAUGCCAUAGGUCUUUUGGAAGUGAGAAUCUUGAUGAUGCUGCAUCAGCCAUAAACGACUACUUUCAAAAGUUGGAUAAGGACUAUUCUAAUAAUCUCAACAAGUGGGCCAAAAAUAUAUAUAUAAAAAAAAGGAAAAAAAAAGAGAAAUGAGAAACAUUUGUUGAGGUAUACUCACAUGACACAGCAAAACAAAACCCCCUUCAGACAUGAUCUGAUCUGCGCGUUUAAACCGAGAGGCAACCUUUCCCACUUUGCUUUUUUGUUGCUGUCAGACAAUCCUAGGUUUUCAAGUAUAGGCUAUUUGGAGGCCGAGAGGAGCGGCUGUUGGGUCCUUUAUAUGUGCUGACUUCACAGAUCUAUGAUGAAUAUUCCUUUCCAACAGAAAUGCUGGGAUCUAAAUGGUGUCUUUUCAGUUUCUAAAUAUAGAUGCAGAUACCACUUUAUCCAAAUCCGGAGAGAAUGUUAGAGACUCACUCAAGCACACAGAAAGUUAAAAUUAUUAUUUGGAAUUUAGGGUGUACUCAGAAGCUAGUGUUGAUGCUCAUAAGUGACGUUUCGAGCGUAUAGAGUGAAUGAAAACGUGAUAGGAUUUUGCUUUGGCUUUAGCUUUGGUAUGAACAAUGUUGAAGGCUUUGGCUUUAGAACGAACCAAUAAUCAGUUGUAGCUGCGGUUGGUGGACCAAGGACUUCACACAAGUUGGACUCUCUAAGUGAUCAUUCAGUAUAUUCAAGAUUUUAUCUUAUGGAAAUCUGUGUGCCCCCAUCACUGUCCAACUCUUGGUCAUAUUCUCGCUGCUCCAUCAUUAUGAAUAUGUUGUGUACACUGUCUUUGCCCGAAACAGCUUGCCCUAUUUCUUUGUAGAGAAGGCUGUGGAUCAUACAUGCAUCAGGCCCACUCAUCUUCUUGUUCUCUCUCUUCAUAGGGAGCACAUGGAUCAUUUAAAUCCUUGUUUUCAGGCAGAAGUAGCACGUGAGGAUAAGUUGUGGCUUCUGCGUCAAAAUGGACAUAAUCACAUGCCACUGUGAAGUACUGCAUACAUUGCUUCCAUUAUUGAGUGUGUGGUUGUAUCUCCUUUGGCAAGGAGAAAAACAAAUGGAAUCCUUUCAGUUUGUCUGUAAUAUUCUAUAUUCUAUAGCUAUCAUGAAGGAUUCAUUUGUUUGAAGUAAGAUGCUAUAGCACACUGUUUUGUUUGACCCUAAGUUUUAUAUACUUUGAUAUGUGGUACAAAAUGUUCUGACGAGAUUCCCGUAUCACGUCAUGUUGCUGAGGUACACAUUGAUUUUCAUGCAAACAUAUUGUGGAAAGGAAGAACUGAUAUAGUUCUUCAGCUUUUACUAUUUUUCGCCUUCAAAUCUUCAAUUGCUAUUCUGUAAAUAUGAAUAUAGAGAUAAACAUAUUUGACCACGUUUACUCUAUUGGAACUAUCUGCUGAGUGAAGUGAAUUCUCUUUUUCACAUCAUUCAUAUUGGGAUCUAUCAUUGAAAUAGUGACAAGAUUUAGACAGU
This is a long non-coding RNA of Vigna angularis (adzuki bean), 2269 nucleotides long. RefSeq lists it as uncharacterized. Lineage: Eukaryota; Viridiplantae; Streptophyta; Magnoliopsida; Fabales; Fabaceae. The transcript is spliced from 6 exons. The record is from RefSeq and is a predicted model, not a curated record.